GGGGGUAAAUUAAUAAAAUAAGAGUAAUAAAAAAAUUUUUAAUAUUGGGGGGUAUUAAAGUAUUUUUUUAAGAAAAAAUAAAAAAAAUUAUAUAAAAUUAGUAUUGUAAAAGAAAUUUGAAAUAAAAUUGAAAAUUAAUUAAUAAAUAAGUAAAUUUAGUUUAUUGUAUCUUGUGUAUCAGAGUUUAUUUAAAAAUAUUUAAUAAAUAAUAAAAUCUCGAAUUUAAAAGAGUUAAUUAAUUAAAAAAGUUAAUGUUGAAUAAUUAUUUUAAAUAAUUAAUUGGAAAUGAAAUGUUAUUCGUUUUUAAAUAUAUCUAGUUUUUUUAGAAAAAAAUUUAAUUUAAAAUUUAAAAAAUUUUAUAUUUAAUUAAAAAAAAAAUAAAAUUUUAAAAUUAAAUAUAUUAGGGGAUAAGCAUUAAUUUAAAAAUUUAUAAUAAAAAUUAAUUUAAUAAAAUUUUUAAAAUUUAUAUUGUUUAAAAAUUAUAAUUUAUUAUAAGAAACUUUAUAUAAAAUAAAAUUUAAUUUAUCAUUUAAUUUUUUAUAAAAAUAUAUUUUAUAAUGAAAUAAAAAUAGAAAUAAUAAUAAAAUUAGUAUAUUAAAAAUUAAUAUUAUAAGUUUAAUUUAAAAUUAAUAUAAAGGAAUUCGGCAAAAUUUUAUAUUCACUUGUUUAUCAAAAACAUGUCUUUUAGGUAAUAAUUUAAAGUCUAAUCUGCCCACUGAUUAAAAUUAAAGGGCUGCAGUAUAUUGACUGUACAAAGGUAGCAUAAUCAUUAGUCUUUUAAUUGAAGACUUGUAUGAAAGAUUUAAUGAAAUAUAGACUGUCUCUAUAUUAUUAAUAAAAAUUAAUUUUUUAGUCAAAAAGCUAAAAUUUAUUUAAAAGACGAGAAGACCCUGUAGAGUUUUAUAAUAAUAAUAAUUAAAAUUAUUUAUAUAAUUAAUAAAUUUUAAUUAUUAUUAUUAUUUUAUUGGGGUGAUAAAAAAAUUGAAUUAACUUUUUAUUAAUUUAAACAUAAAUAAGUGAUUAUUUGAUCCAUUUAUAAUGAUUAAAAGAAAAAAUUACCUUAGGGAUAACAGCGUAAUUUUUUCUUUUAGCUCAAAUAAAAAAAAAAGAUUGCGACCUCGAUGUUGGAUUAAGAUAAAAAUUAAAUGCAAAAGUUUAAAAUUUUGAUCUGUUCGAUCAUUAAAAUCUUACAUGAUCUGAGUUCAAACCGGUGUAAGCCAGGUUGGUUUCUAUCUUUAGAAAUUUUAAAUAUUUUA
RNAcentral lists this ribosomal RNA (1256 nucleotides) under Boloria perryi. RNAcentral describes it as "Clossiana perryi partial 16S ribosomal RNA". The record is from RNAcentral. Lineage: Eukaryota; Metazoa; Arthropoda; Insecta; Lepidoptera; Nymphalidae.